RNAcentral lists this transfer RNA (72 nucleotides) under Nanopusillaceae archaeon. RNAcentral describes it as "tRNA-Tyr". It matches the Rfam family "tRNA". Rfam says of the family: Transfer RNA (tRNA) molecules are approximately 80 nucleotides in length. Their secondary structure includes four short double-helical elements and three loops (D, anti-codon, and T loops). RNAcentral also lists the same sequence under 1 other name. Lineage: Archaea; Nanobdellati; Nanobdellota; Candidatus Nanoarchaeia; Nanoarchaeales; Nanopusillaceae. The record is from RNAcentral.
CCCCCGGUAGCUCAGCGGUGGAGCGCCCGGCUGUAGACCGGGAGGGCGUGGGUUCAAAUCCCACCCGGGGGA